Molecule: unclassified non-coding RNA, 335 nt
Filed under: soil metagenome
Description: partial contains 5.8S ribosomal RNA, internal transcribed spacer 2, and large subunit ribosomal RNA
Rfam family: 5.8S ribosomal RNA (bases 1-120)
Source: RNAcentral
GAUGAAGAACGUAGCGAAAUGCGAUAAGUAAUGUGAAAUGCAGAAUUCAGUGAAUCAUCGAAUCUUUGAACGCACAUUGCGCCCGCCAGUAUUCUGGCGGGCAUGCCUGUUCGAGCGUCAUUUCAACCAUCAAGCCCCCGGCUUGUGUUGGGGACCUGCGGCUGCCGCAGGCCCUGAAAACCAGUGGCGGGCUCGCUAGUCACUCCGAGCGUAGUAAUACAUCUCGCUCAGGGCGUGCUGCGGGUUCCGGCCGUUAAAAAGCCUUAUUUACCCAAGGUUGACCUCGGAUCAGGUAGGAAGACCCGCUGAACUUAAGCAUAUCAAUAAGCGGAGGA